AGGAAAUUUUUCACACAAAUAUUAAUUUUACUUGAAAUUUCACUGUUUAUAAACAUAUCGAUUACGAAAUAAAAAAAAACAAAAUGAAGUUAUUCCGUUUAUUCCCCGCAGUGAUGAUUUGCUGUCUUUUGAUUGAAGUGAAGUGUCAACCAUGUGGAGGACGCGGAGCAGCAGCUGGAUCAGACUUAGGCGCAGGCGAAAAAAAAGAAGUAGGCCUAAGUAAAGGCGCAGGUGGUGACGGACACUCAGGCGAAGACGGAGGCGUAGGCGAACACAGAGGCGCAGGCGGAGCCGGAGGCGCAGGCGGAGCUGGAGGCGGAGGCGGAAGCGGAGGCGGAGGCGGAAGUGGAGGCGCAG
Plutella xylostella (diamondback moth) is the source of this 357-nucleotide long non-coding RNA. RefSeq lists it as uncharacterized. The record is from RefSeq and is a predicted model, not a curated record. Lineage: Eukaryota; Metazoa; Arthropoda; Insecta; Lepidoptera; Plutellidae.